RNAcentral lists this long non-coding RNA (18927 nucleotides) under Zostera marina. Its description in RNAcentral is "long non-coding RNA (ZMAR_LNC003723)". Lineage: Eukaryota; Viridiplantae; Streptophyta; Magnoliopsida; Alismatales; Zosteraceae. The record is from RNAcentral.
UGAGAUUGCAGCAGCUGCUGAACAACCUCUCCCUGAUGACGACGACGAUAUUUUCGAUUAAUCCCUUCCCUUCCAUUUUAUAGAUCGAUGGGGUUGUUAGUUCUCUGGACAAGUUUCUUUGGAAUGUUAUCUAUCAUUCUGUUUUGAACUUGAAAUAAUGAAAUUGUGCACCUUUUUUUCAGAACAUUAUCACUAUUUCAUUAUGAAAAAGUUUCUUUUCAACACACACAAUUAGUUACCAUCCUUGUUUAAUGCCAGUGAUUUUACCAAAAUGUUAAGAUUAAAGCUUGGCUAUCUUUACCAAUAUUGGGGCUGAUCUUAUAAUCAUUCUUAUAAUCGUCAAUCUUAGUCUUUGUUCGAUCCUUAUUUUUAUAGCAGUGUUCUUAUCAUUAUCCACAUUUUAGAAUUUUCCUACAGGUUUCCCCCUCUAUCAUGAUCAGUAAUAUGCUCUUCCCAAAAACCCUAGAUCAUCAUCAGAAACAUUAGUUUCCAUUCAAUUCUUAUUAUGAGUGUUUUUGAAAAUUUGGUGUAUUUUUAGUAUUAUACCUCAAAGUUUUAAAAUUUACGAAAAAACUUCACUACUUCAGUAACAUUCACUUAUCCAUAAUUAUUUCAAAAAAAAAAAAUAGCGUAAAAACACCGCUAAAGAAAAAGGCGACCAAUCAGACGGCCAAGAUUGACGCGUUAUUCGAAAGCUAAUUCGAUCCAGCCUUUUGUCUCUUUCACUCAUUUUUUGCUUAUAUAAAUCUCAUUACCGAACCCUUUCUUUCCUCUACCGUCUUCGUUAAAAACCCUCCUCUUCUUCAUCGAACUCGAUAGAAUACCUAAACAAAUUAUGGCGAGUUCUUCUUUUCCUCUCACUUCGCCCCCUUUUCUUUCUAUUAUCGAUCGAUAGGGUUAUGAUUACGAUCUGGUUCGUUGAUGUUUUUUUCUAAUUUGAUUUCAGGCGCUUCCGAAUCAGCAAACAGUCGAUUAUCCCAGUUUCAAGCUGGUCAUUGUUGGCGAUGGAGGAACAGGUGAUCUAUUCUUUUUUCUUUCUAUUUCAAGUCUUUCAUAAUUUUCGAUUGUGCUUUGAAUUUUUUUUUUACCUUUUGGCUUUGAAUCGACGCAGGGAAGACUACGUUCGUAAAGAGGCAUAUGACCGGGGAGUUCGAGAAGAAGUACGAACGUAAGAUUUUUUUUAUUCCUUCUUCUACUUUUUCUCGAUUUGUUAAUGGAGGAAUUCUGAUUCUCAGUCGUUCUCUGCAGCUACUAUUGGUGUUGAGGUCCAUCCUUUGGAUUUCUUCACAAAUUGUGGGAAGAUCAGGUUUUACUGCUGGGAUACAGCUGGUCAGGAGAAAUUUGGUGGUUUGAGAGAUGGAUACUAGUGAGAUAUCUUUUCUUUUAUUCGCGUGAUUUUAUUUAGAGAAUUAAAGCUAGUCUCUAUUUUAUAAAUUAAGGCUGAUGUUUGUUUUGAUUCACUCUAAGGUGUUCUUUAACUACUUAUUUUAAGCUACUUUAUAUCAGUAUAUCAACACUAAUAUUUUCUUCAAUGGUUUUUGAAAUGCAGUUUUUUUUCUUUAUACAUUAAAUUUCUGACAAAACAAAUCUAUUUACAUAUAGCAUUGUUUUGUAUGUGACUAUUCAUAUGUUGAUAUAUGUGUAACUUUAAAGUUAUUAGUUAAAACUUGUGUGUUUGUAUAUUUUGUUUAAUUAGAAUAAGGAAGUGUGUGUUUUUGUAUAUUCAUAGGUUUUUAAUUUUAAUCUUUUUCAAAGCUCUGUAAUUUUUGUUCAUAACGCCAUAUUAUUAAUUAUUUAUACUUCAGGCUUUAUCAAUUUAUUUUAUCAGCCCAUUGAACUAUUUUUGAUAACUGAACUUCUUAUUGCAGUAUUCAUGGGCAAUGCGCAAUUAUAAUGUUUGACGUCACUGCAAGAUUGACAUAUAAAAAUGUCCCAACAUGGCACAGAGAUCUUUGCAGGUUAGUAAUUUGGUAUAUGUAACAUGUGUGCUUAUUAUCUUGAAAUGAGACCUUUCCUUGUUUUUAGAAGGAAAAAAAAUCUAACUUUUGUGGUUGGCUUCCUUUAUCCAGGGUGUGUGAGAACAUUCCCAUUGUUCUCUGUGGAAAUAAGGUUGAUGUAAAAAACAGGCAGGUUAAAGCUAAGAUGGUUACAUUCCACAGAAAGAAGAAUCUCCAAUAUUAUGAGAUAUCAGCUAAAAGCAACUACAAUUUCGAAAAGCCUUUCCUCUAUCUUGCCAUAAAACUUGCCGGGUAAUGAUUGAAUACAUAUUUAUUUGGUCUAUCAGAUUUCAAUCUAAGGAUUAUUAUUUGAUUAUUAAAUAAAUGUCUGUUGUUUGAUUUCAAUCUCAAGGGACCCCAAACUACAUUUUGUUGAAUGUCCGGCACUUCUCCCUCCCGAUGUAGAAAUCGAUGUUGCUGCAUGCCAGAAGUACGAAGCUGAGAUUGCAGCAGCUGCUGCACAACCCCUUCCUGAUGAUGAUGACGACGCUUUUGAUUGAUCAGUUUCCUGCUUUCCAUUUUAGAUAUCAUUGGGGUUGUUAGUUCUCUGGAUAGCUUUCUUUUCAAUGUUAUCUAUCAUUCUGUUUUGAACUAGACUUUUGAAAACGUUGUCAUUGGUGUGGGUUUUUUCUUCAAAAUGUUAUCACUCUUUCAAUUUCAUUAUGAAAGAAAUAUUUUCGUUUUCAAUAAAUCUGUAGUUACUAAUUAGUUAUCUAGUUAUAUUAUUAUUAUGAUUUACUGUUUUUCUCCAAAUAUAUCAGACUAGUUAUGAUUUUUUGAUCAGUCCUUUACUAUCUCACACUCUGACACAUCACCUCAUAUAUCAGUACCUCAGAGCACUGAGUCUUCAGGUAAUAUACUUCAAACAAGAACAACAAUUUUAGAAUCAGCUUAGACUCAAAUACAAGAAUCAUAAAGGAGAUACCUUAUAGAAUCAUAAAACAACCAACCUAUCUUAAUUAAGGAUUAUGUAUGCUUGAACACUCAAUUCAUUAAAUUUGAGCCUAAUUCCUUUAAAAAAGCUUUUAAAGAUGAGAGCCGAAAGGAAGCUAUGAAUGAUGAAAUGGAUGCAUUACAAAAGAACAACACAUGGUCCUUGAAUCUUGAUUCCUAUUGACAAAAGCAUAAAUGUUAUAAGGUGUAAAUGGGUAUAUAAAGUCAAGACCAAAUUUGAUGGAUCAAUAGAUAGAUAUAUAUAAGACAAGAUUAGUUGUUAAGAGCUACAAUCAAGAAGAAGAGGUAGAUUACAUCCUUGUAAUUAAAUUUUUUUCUUUCUCGAGAGGGUUAAUUUUAAAUAUUUAACCAAAUUUAAAAAUAAUUUUUUUCAAUUUAAUUGUUCUCGACGAGAUGUCAUAUUUUGGUACCGAUACAUAAUAUUAUCAUUAUUAACAUAAAAAAUUAAAUCUUUUUCAACAUAUGUUAUUAAAAUAUCAUUCAACAUCAUUCAUACGAUUGUGGUAACUUGAUUUCAUAAGAUUCAUUGCUGAAAAAGAAUUUUCCACUGAAACAUUCGCAACUGGUAAUAUGAGUGUUAAUUUUAACAAACAAAAUACCCAAAAAAAUACGAUAUGUUUUCUCUUCUCAAUCAACUUUCUAAUUUCAUUCAAAUUCGAAAGUUUUUCGUUAUUACGUACAUGAAAAAUAUAUUCUGACAGUUUAUUUUCAAAAGCUCUAAUGUCAACAGUAGAAAAAUUUAUAGGAUAAAAUUUCGCUAAAUUUAGUACUUUUGUUUUAUCAUAAAAACGAAAUUCAUUAUCCGACGUCAAACAACUUAUGUUUUAAAUUAGAUCCAUAUUUGAUGUUGCAAAACGACUAUUCAACUCUUUCAACUGUUUGUCAACAACUAGAUUAAACAAUUCAGCACGAUAUCGAUGAAUAUUUGUUACCUUUUGAAGUAAACGUUUUGAUCUACCAGGGGAAAUAAAACUGUCUUCCAUUAUAGGAACAUCGAUUUCAUUCUCUAAAUAAAAAGUUGAUAUUGUAGUUAGUAUUUAGUAAUGUUUUCCAACCUUCAUCUCGUAACAUUUGCAAACGAGUUUGAAAAUUAAACAUCAUUUCUAUCACAUUCACGAUAUCCUGUUCUUUUCGUUGCAAUGUCUGUGACAUACGAUGUGUAAUAGAUAGUCUCUUUCAUAAAAUACAAAGUAAUCAUAAAUUCAUUGAUCUUUUUUCGCAAUUUUAUAUCGGGAGGUAAUUUACUUACAUCGAGUGACUCUCGAGAUGGUUGUGGAUUGGACGAUGAAAUUGAAAUUGAUUGAUUUAUUCUAAGUCUUUUGAUUACAAAUUUAUACAUUUGUUUUUUUUUCUUUGUGUAAAGUUAUGACCACGGACGAAUGAAGGUGUGGAGUUGUGGUGAGUGGUGUCAAAAAAUAAAAAGAAUGAAAAAGACGGAGGAGAGGAAAAAAAACGAAAUUUUUAAAUCCUUAUCCGUUUUACAAGUUAUGCUGAAGACACUGUAGGUGGCCUUAUCCGUGUUUUCUUCUAGUUCUAAUGUUCCCCUUUUUAGAAUGAUUUAUGGACUGAUGAUUCGUGGGAAAAGUCGAAACGAGUUCAAAUGGCUGACUCUUCCCUUCCUACUUUAGCUUAGCUUGUCUUUUCCGAUUGCUGUUCAAAACUGGUAGAUGGGUGUGUUUGUUUUUAUGCAUUUUAUUGAGCCGGUGGUUGCGGUUCAAAACUAGCAAUUUUCUUGAGACCGCAAAAGGACAGUAAAUACAGACUGUACGUACAGUACUGGAACACCUACCACCAUCGGCUAUAGCGUUAUCAUCUUGAGCAUCGCAAAUAUCUUCCAAGGGUUCCAAAUAUCUUGAUAGAAUGUUUAUCAUGAAGAAGAAACCUGCAAAAAACCCAAAUAAGAAGAAACCUAGAAGAAGAAACACAAAGAAGAUCAAACUGAACUAUUUAUUACAGGUCCAAAAGUAUGUUCUAUUUCAACUAAAUCCUUUAACGUUGAAAUCAUUUAUUUUCCUUUCUGGGCCAGUCCGGACUCCAGACUUUUGGGCUUGUGUAGAUAAUCCAUUUAACCUGAUAAAUGAAUCCAUUAGUGAUAUUUAUUUUAUUAAACAUGAUUAAGUAAUAAUUGUGAAGUAAAUGUUAUUUAUUUAUAACUAAUAACCUUAAAAUUUAUAUCGGAUCCAUUUUCGAUUCGACACGUCCGUUCCGGCGACUCGCUGCGAAUACCAUUGCGAGUGGAGUUCGGGAGUGCCGUCCACCAUCGUGAGGCCGGAACUGGAAUGGAGUUCGUGAAUCGUGAGUUCGCGAUGGGUCAAAAACCCGGAACCACCAACUAUAUCUCUGGGAACUCAACACGGAUUUCAGGUACCGUCCUCCGUUCCCCCGCAAUGCAGUUCCUCACGCGUCGACCGUCAGAUUGCCUUCAAUGACCAUCUGUGUAAGGUAUCGCACCCAGUUUCAGAGACCGACACCGCGUAUUAAUAGAUGUUCUUGUUACUUUUAUUGUCCUUUCUUGUUACCUGGAUCCAGAUGUAGACCAACCCAGGUCUGUUUUGGCCCAUUCUUUCUUUAUUAAAUAAAUAAAUAUUGUCCAAACAUCCAAACCUAAAGCUCAACCCUAAGUCCUAACCAUAAUCGCCUCUAAUCAGUCGAAGCAAUGCCUUCCGUCGUCGCUGCCGUCCGGCCACUUGUCUCCGUGCAAGCAUUGGACGGAGACAUGAUCGUCGAUGGUCCGAACUCCGUUCCUCUCCCCGAUGUUAUGAAGACUCCCAUUCGUCCCGAUAUCGUUAGAUUUGUACAUUCGCAAAUGUCGAAUAACACCCGGAUUCCUUACGCCGUCUCUAAAAAUGCUGGUCAUCAGACAUCUGCAGAGUCAUGGGGCACUGGUCGUGCGGUGUCACGUAUCCCUCGUGUUGCCGGAGGUGGUACUCAUCGGGCCGGUCAGGGAGCAUUUGGAAAUAUGUGUCGCGGAGGACGCAUGUUUGCCCCCACAAAGAUUUGGCGCAAGUGGCACCGAAAUGUCAACGUCAAUAUUAAAAGACACGCGGUUGCUUCAGCUCUCGCUGCAUCUGCAGUUCCGUCUCUUGUUCUUGCUCGAGGUCAUAGGAUACAAUCGGUUCCCGAGUUACCGCUAGUGGUAUCUGAUUCUGCAGAGGGAGUUGAGAAAACUUCAUCUGCUCUUAAGGUCUUGAAGGAGAUCGGAGCCUAUGCUGAUGUAGAGAAAGCAAAAGACAGUCACUCCAUUCGAGCUGGAAAGGGUAAGAGCAGGAAUCGCAGGUACGUUAAUCGCAAGGGACCUCUAAUUGUGUACGGAACCGAGGGAUCCAGCAUUGUCAAGGCUUUUCGUAAUCUUCCCGGAGUUGAUAUCGUCAACGUUGAGCGUCUCAGUCUCCUCCAAGUUGCUCCUGGAGGUCAUGUCGGAAGGUUCAUCAUCUGGACAAAAUCUGCAUUUGAAAAACUUGACGAGAUUUUCGGAACAUAUGAGAAAGAAACUAAGAAGAAGAAGGGUUAUGUUCUUCCAAGGUCCAAGAUGACAAAUCCUGAUCUAUCUAGGGUUAUCAAUUCUGACGAGGUUCAAUCUGUUGUUAAGCCUAUCAUUACUGAGGUAAAGAAGGCGACGACAAAGAAGAACCCUCUAAAGAAUAUAAAUCUUAUGCUUAAGCUCAACCCUUAUGCAAAAACAGCCAAGAGGAUGUCUCUUCUUGCCGAGACACAGAGAAUUAAGGCAAAGAAUGAAAAAUUGGCUAAGAAGAGGAGCCCUCUUAGCAUGGUAAUCCCGUUAUAUUUCAAUUUAUUUUAGCAAUUUUUUUGUUUGUUUGUUUUUUAGUAUUUUUAUGCGAUAAUGUGUUGAUUGAAAAUUUGAAAUAUCUUGUUUACUUUCAAAUCAUUAAUUUUUGUUUCUUUUUCUUCAGGUUCUAUUUUUUCUCUAUAUUAUGCAAAUUAGAUUUUUGUGUUUGUCAUAUAGUUAAUAGCUUUUGCCAUUUUUUCAAUUAAUUUUAGAUUUUGUGUCUUCUAUGUACAGUGUACUGUUUUGGUUCUAAAUUGUAAUUGAUAUUUGUAUUUGAUUUUUAAUUUUUUUAUUUCGUAUUCUUAAGGUUUUUUUGCCACUUUUUCCAAUUGAUUCUAGAUUUUGUUUGUAGGAACAUAAAGUUCUGGAUGAUUUGUGAUCUCUCAUUAGUAUUAUGAAUAUCAUUUUUUGUUUGUUGUAUCAUUUGUAUGCUUGUAGAGUUGUAUGUAGUUACUUGUAUUUUUAUUGUACUAUAAUUUUAUAUGAAUUCUGAGCUCAUUGAGAAUUAUUUGAGUGCAGGAAGAGGUAGCCAGAAUUAAAGCCGCUGGGAAGGCAUACUAUAAAACAAUGAUUUCUGAUUCUGAUUAUACAGAAUUUGACGUCUUCACCAAAUGGCUUGGAGUAACACAAUGAUUUUCUCAGUUUCACCAAUCAAUUUUUGUUCCUCUGAUCUUACUUACUUGCAGUUCUGUCUGAUGUUUCGUUGAUCUUGUAUCAUUUCUGCUGUGUUUUUGUUACUGGUUGAGUCUGAACUUUUACCAUUGGAUAAUGUUUAUCCUGUAUUUGAGUUUUUGUAAUGUUCGUUCGACAAGGAUUUUUGUCUUAGAUCAUGAUUAGUGUAGUUUUGGCUCUUAUGAUUGAUUAGUAAAAACAUUGAUAAUUUUUUUCGUUCUUGAUUGUUUAUUUCCUUCAAAGUUGCAGAGAAAUAAUUGGAAAUUGGAAGUUAUGGUGAUGUCAGAUGUGAACUUUUGAUUGUUUGAGAAAGAGAAUUUAAAAACCUAAAUAUCUUGUAAAUAUAACAUGUUUGUGAGGGUAAAUGGGUAAUAAUGUAAAUGAAUUUAGAAUAUAUUUUUGAGAAAUAAAUGUGUUUUUCCAUUAUUCGAGGGUAAUUUUUCUUAUUGCAACUUUCGAAAUUCCAAAUGAAGCGGCGUCACUACGUCGGUUCUUCUCAGAUUCAUCUCGUGCGUUUCUUCUUCGUAGCUGUAAAUCCUGUGAGUUUGUGACUGAUUUUUCACAAUGAAAAGGUAACACAGAUCUAAGGUUUUGCGAUUAUCGUUUUUGUUUUAGGGUUUUCCGAAUUGGUUUCAGAUAAAUAAUAAUCUUAUGAUUUAAUGCUUAAUUCUAAUUUUUUAUUUUAGGGUUGUAGUCUUCAAUUCUUCACCCUCCCUUCUUGACUUCCCUCCUAGCUCCGGUAACCUUGCACGUUGCACCUGAAGUUCCAGUGUUACUGAUGUGCAGAAAGAGUUAUCGUCCCCGAUCCUAAUUCUUCUCUUAGUUUCAGUCCUAUUUCCUAUUGCAGAUUUUGUAGCCCUCGAUUUCGUAUUGCAGAAAUUCCGACGCGUUCGCUCUGUGAUUCUUGGGCAGUCUCUGGCUAUUUCGAUUUUGUCUCCGAUUUAAGGAUUUAGGUUUUUCUUGGAUUCUCUUUUAUUCUCUGAUUUAUCAUUUUCAAAAUUUAGUUCUGAUUUCUCAUUUCAUUUUGAUUUAGUCUCACGAUUUAGUUCUGAUUUUUAUAUUUCAAUCAAAUUUAGUUAUGAUUUUUACAUUUCAAUCAGAUUUAGUUUUACGAUUUUUCAUUUUCUCCUGAAGGGUAAAGUCAAAAUCUGUAAAUCUUGUUUAUUAUAAUAUCUUGUUGGAUUUGUAUGUUUUAAACUUUUAAUAAGGUCUGAUUUUUUUAAUAUUUGUAUGUUUUAUUUAUCUUGUUUUUUACAGAGAAUUAUUUAAAAAUUAAAAGUACAACGGUUAUUUUGUUAAAAUUAUUUUAAAUCUUAUUUUUUGAAAAUUUAAGGUUUUUCUAUAUAAAAUUAUUCAAAUUUGGAUAUUCCGGAUAUCCAAAAAAUUAGGCGAAUUUUGGAUUUCUUAUUCGAUUAUUAUUCAGACGGAUUCGGAUUAUCCGGAUAUUUCCCUGAUUUGAAUAUCUUGGUAUCCCAGCCGAAUCUGUCCGAAUAACAGGCUUAAUUACAAGUACACCAUUGUUUCACAUUCCCAAUUUGCCAAGAUUUAAUUUUCUUCUUUUCAUUUGAUUUUUCAUCCGAUCAGUGGAAACAUGUUCAUCGAACUUGACAAGCUCCCAAUCAACCGAGUCGAGGCUGUCGAUGACUCUGGAAUUGAACGGUUUCCUUUGUAUGACACCUCCCAUUACUUAAAUUUUCCAUUCACUAUCUUCUUCUUAUCUCUUCUCUUUUCAAAUCCUCCCUCUUCGUCGUCUUAUAUGGUUUAUGUGUGCUUUCAGAGAUGUUGAUCCGGAAGAGAGGAAAGUGGAUUUGAUUCGAAAGUUAGAUUUCUCAAGUGAGGUGGAGAAAUAUACCAAGAGAUCGAGAAAUGGCUCAGAUGAAAUUGCUAAGGAGAAAAAUAAGAAACCACCUGGUUCCACUUCUUGGCCUUGGCAGUCUUUGAUAGAAAGUAUGCAAGCUGCACAUCAGGAGCUUUCUGUUAUAAUUGACAUCAUCAACACGGUAUUAUUUGUUUUUUCCCUCUAAUUUGGUUUUGAUUCCUUGAAUUCUCUUGCAAUGUGUGCUUAGCAAAUUAGCUAAUGUUGGAAGUUGGAACUUAAAAUUGCCGAUGCUGCUACUAUUACUAUUGUAUUUGAAUACUAUUCAAUUAUGUAAUAUGCAGUGUUACUAUAGAUUAAGAUUCUUGUAUGGCUGGUUUUGUAGCAUUAUACUAACUAUUGAAAACAGUAAUAAACGAAUGCUUUCAAUUAUGGCUACAUAAGAGAAUUAUUUUGAUUGUUAUUUCAUUUGUUAGUUAUCUGAGAACUAAUUUUCUAUCAGCUAUAAGUUUUUAUCGAAAUAACCAGUAGCACUCUGUUCCAAUUUUAAUUAACCAGAGUACUUUUUGUACACGACUUCUAGAUGUCAUUUGAUAUGCUAAAUCUUUUUCUUUUGUGAUUGAUAUAGGUAGAAGCAAAUGAUGCGGUAACAGUUGCAGGAAUGACAAAACCAAAGCCAUUGACCAAUGAAAUUUUGUCAGAUCUUUCGGUAUCCACUGCAACCAAGCUUCAAUCUAUUCGGGUACAUUUUUUUAAAACUCUUGUCUAGUUCAUAUUUUAAUCAUUGUGGCGUGUUGAAUGUUGUACAUUACUACAAUUACGAAGAACCAAGCAGUGUGCACUAGGCACAAUACUUGUCAUUGGAAGAUACAUAUAUCAUAACAAAUACCUAAUUCCCAUUGUUAGCAAACAUCAAUGGUGAUUAAUCAACAUACCCACACUGUUCUGAAUUGUUGCUAAGAAGCUUACAUCUAAAUAUUUUAUAGGAUUAGUAACCAAAUGUCUAGCAGACAGUAUUGUUUAAGCACCUUUUCUCACAACAUCUAGAAAUAAUUAUCCUCUGGGGCCUGGACACAUCCAUAUAAACACGUAGAAGUGCUCGAUUUCAGCGUAAUAUCAUACUAAUAUUACACCACACCUUUUGUUGUCUACUAUUAUUUUUAUUGAACUAAUAACAUAUUUAUUCACUUUCAGCAUCUUGGAAAGUAUUUUAAACAAGGUUCAAAAUCAUUUGAAAAGUUAGUUGCGAAGGAGACUCGUUUCUACAAUGCACUAAUCAGGUAGUUGUCAUGGUAAUAUUUUUUAUUUUGUUUUGUCAAAUAAUAUACCUUAUUUUCUCAAUUUUCAAAAGAUUACAGCAAAACUGGAAAGUGAAACGGCACCGUCUAACCAUAUCUGGUCAUAGCAAUGAGGGUUUCACAAUUGAUUUGAUGGACAUAUCAUCGUCAGAAUCUAACACAUUUCCUCGUCCUUUUUCGACAUCUAUUAUCCGUGUCGAUCGUGACCUAAAUGGAAAAUUAGUUGUGCAAUUACCCUUGCGAUCAUUCCGCUCUCUGUAUUUUAGAUUCUUUGAUAGCAAUUCAAGUCGUAGAUUGCUACAUUCACUAAGGAGUAAAAUGCAUAGCAUAACUAACAAGUUUCCUCUAGAUGGUAAUAAUGAAACUGUUGUUGAAAAUGUCAAUGAAUGUGUAAAGGGAUCCCAUUCUGUUCUUCGCAACAUCCAUUUAUCACUCUUUGAAGAGAAGGUACUUUGUUCUCUAUUUAAUAUUUACAUUUCUUGUUUUCCCUUUGAAGUAAUUUCUUAUAGAAUUGAUUAUUUCCAGGUCUUUGAUUUUGUAAUUCAUGAAGCAUUAGCUUCAUUGUCAGGGGUCGAAAUCGUUACAUUAUAUGAGAAUUUUCUGAAAUUGGGGGUAGGAAAAGGAGCAUCUGUAAAUUUAUCCCUUAUGUUAUCUGAUGAGGCUGAUCCCAAGCCAAUAUUUGACGAUCCUUGUGAGGAAAAUAUUGAUUCUCAUACAAACUUAUUGGAAGAGUUGGAUAUUGACAGAGAACACAAUACAUUCAAGGAAACUAUCACGAGAUUUCCAAAUGCAGCAUGUUUUCAAAUUCAUCUAACAUCUACGGUACAUGAAUAUAUGUCCAGUCGUGCAAAAGAAGGAUGUCGUGAUGAGAUUGGACUUAUAAGUGAUUUUUGCAUGACUGGAGCUCACAGUAUAUUUUCCCAGAAGGUGUUAUCAGAUUUGGAAACUCUGGUAUUGAGGCACAAUAAUUUCAUUUAUACACUUAAAGUUAUUUAUGAUUGAGUUUUUUCUUUCUAAUUCUCUCUCUCUUUAUAUGUACUAUGAAGGCAAGUGGAAUUCCAUAUCUUCGUUUGCUGACCCAUCCAACUUGGCAUUCUCGGAUCUCAUCAUGGUCGCUUUUCGUAAAGCUUCCACAAUCCAUUCUAAAUCCUUUAAAUGCACACAAAAUGAGAAGCGAGUUCAACAUUAAAGUGACGGUCACUGAUGAUUGUGUCAAGGUCACUGGAAUUGGUUCACCUAAUGUAAUAGAUUCAUUUAGUGGCAAUUCAUCAUUUUCAAAGUCAGUUUAUUCUUAUUAUGAUCGUAACUUGGUUGACUUGAAGAUGAGCCUUCUACUUAAGGUACGAUCAAUAAUUUGUACAGUCUAAAGUCUAAACUUUAGACUUUAGAUGACCAUUACUUGGAUGUCUCAUCAUGAUGUUUGUUGAAACAGAUAGCUUGUCAGUUGAUCCAAUGGCUCCAUGAAGAGGCUCUGGUAUUAGGGCUCAUAGCAAGUAGAGACUUUUUAACUUUAAAUUUUGACAUAGCCGAAGGUAGCAAUAUGAAGUUGAUGGCACAUGUGGACGUCAAAGAUGGUCAUUGCAGCAUAUCAUGGUCGAUGGUGGUAAAUGAAAACGAUGGCAAACCUCUCACCGAAUAUUCUACCACCAAGUCUGAGGGGACCAUAACGUUCCUGGGCUAUUUAUCGCUAGAAACAUUGUAUUCUAUUUUAAUGGAUCUGGUUAGCUUUUGCAACAACCCCUUAAACCUUGUAGUCUCAUCUCACCCCAACAUUUUCUCUAGUUAAUAAACUAAUUAUGUUGUAAUUAGUUUGCUUGUACAGGUAGAUUCUUUAAAUAUUUUUUUUGUUUACAUUUAUUGCUUUUUUAUGACUUGUGAGAUCGUGUCUUGAGGCUUUUGUGUUAAAGAAAAUUUGAAAGUGUCAAAUGCUAGACUUCAGCUGGUAUCUGUGUGUGUAUAAUUGUAUCUGUAAGUCUUUGAUUAAGAUUCCUUCCUUUCUAUUUCCAUCUAGGAUGGUCAUGUGGGGAUUUGUUGAUUUAAAUAUGUCACGACUCGCAUAAACCCAUUAUAAACACUAAAAUUGAUAAGGAAAUGAGAAUCAAACAGAAAUUAGGUAGAUGAUCAUUUGCAUUAUUUAAAGAAUUCAUUGUUGUUCCUGAUGCAAGUUUAUGUCAGGUUAAAUCCUGAAUAGACGCUAUUGAUUACUUAAAAUAGAGCCAUGAGCGCUACCCCUCUGAAUGAAAGAAACAAUCAAUUUCACAAGUUGUUUUAACAGGACACGGAUAUUAAUUAUAACACGGACAUUGGUAAUAAUAACCAUCCAUUCAUAAUCCAAGUGCGGUCUAAAUAUUGAAGAAAAUUAACAGUAAAAUUGAUAAGGUAUAUUACAUUAAUUAAAGAUAAUUGAGGUUCAACACACAACAGAAAAAUGAACUAUUUUAAUUAAUCUUGAAAUCCAGGUAUGAAAGAGUCCCAAUUAAUUGUUCAUGGAUCCUGGCAUCCUGCUGUGAAGUUUUUUUUUGAACCUGGAUGUUUUGAAGCCAAGUGCCUUCACACAUUGCUGGAAAAUGACUUCUUUUACUGAUCUCAGAUUUCUCUUGGCAUAUUGCCCAAGAUAGAGCAGUUUAGCAAUGACCAAUGAAGGCCCCAAUUUUUGUGUGGAAUGAGGUAGAUUGUUGACCUUUCUAAAUACUAUUUCAAAAGUGCCCGAUGAGGUUUGAUAUGAUGCUAUUUGCUGCUUUUUAUUACAAUGCAUAGUUAUUACAAUGGAUAUUAGUAUAAACUACAGAGUACAGACUAUGAAAGGAUCUGAAGAAUAAAGUUAACUUAGGUUUGGAAGCUAAUGUGAGAUCUUAAAGAAAGAAAUUAUGAUCCCACUAAGACAAAGUCAAGGAAGACUCAUGAUUUUAAAUAAGAAGAUAAAGUCCUCAGGAAGAUUCUUCAUGAAUCAUGAUCACCUACCUGCCAGGCUGCAAAACAUAUAAGUAAAAAAAUAGCAUAUUUGCUGAAAGUCUGAAACCCACAUGCCUUUGUACAGAAAACACAAACACAAUGUUUACACUUCAUUUACAUGUUUAAUCUCACACUAGAAGUGAUUCCAUGUUUCAAUUAGAUAUUAUUCCAUGAUAUCAUAUUUCUAUUCAUUGAAUUCAAUACAACCAACUACAAAUAUACCCUUGAAAAGUUACGAUCAAUGCAAAAUACAACUGAAUUUCCUGUGCAGCCAAUGUAUGGACUAAUUUACUUGCAUCCUAUAUCUUUGCAAGUAUUGGUUUAUAAGGUAUUCAUCAAUAUCUCAGUUCCUUAAGAAACCUAAAAGAUUGACCUGUAAUAUUAACACGAAGAACACAUAUGACUAGACUAAAGCAUGGAAUUAUAAGUGUAAUAAAUAGAAAAUAGAAGGUUAUUCAUAAUGUAGAUGUGGAAUAGAUCACAAAAUGAUAUCUGCCAGGCAAAAAUAUAAAAAUCAAUUUAGUUGUUGAAAUAAUUAACAAUCACCGUUCACCAUAAAUUGGUCCAUAAUGUGCCAGGCGAAAAAUAAAGAAUACCCAACCAUCAUUUUGGACCUUUGAUGUAAGCUUUAAAGCUUCCAACUCUGUUCCUGGAAAAUCCACAAGUAACAACAGUUAUAUUGUUUGAAUGUAUCCUCAAGAUACUGAAGGCAAUGACCAAUGGUUGAACACGAAGCACUGCGAAGUUUAGCUCUGUACAAAUCAAUAAAUAUGAAGAUGCACAAAAUGAAAAAAAGCAUAUUAAAAAUAAGUUGGUAAUUUGAAUCCCAUACAGAUUUAUAUGCAUAAAUUUAUAGAAGAUUAUAUUAACAAUUUUUUCUCAACCAUCUUGGAGAGUAGGAAACACCUUGAAACAUAAGUAUGUGAUUAAUAAUAAUUAACAAAUAGAAAUCUGUCAAUUAGCGGUUGUUUACAGACCACAUGUCCUAACUAAAACACAGAAUAAUUGUAUUAUAUGCAUGUGUUAAUUCUCUAAGAAAUUUAUAAACUAACAUUUUUCCAUUCCUUUCUAUGGCCAAAUACAAAUAUGAGAAAUCUUGUAAUGUAUACAAAAAGCUCUUUUCUUUCUACAAUGCUUUGAUGCUAGUACUACAGACCAAUAAGACUGUUUCUAAGUAAUGAGAAUUGAUAACAAACUGUCAACUAUGAAAGCUUUUUUGACUCACCGGAUACUAAAUGCUUUAGUUCCGAUAGAUGUUCAUCAGUUGAAAUAUGAAGAAAAAGACGGAGGUUUGUCAUUAAUGCUUGUUGUUCCCAACUUAUGGGUCCAGAUGCAAAUAAUAAGUUCAUAGUUAAACGAUAGGCAUUCAGCUCCAAUUUGUGAACUUCUGCAUGUACAUCCAUUUCUUGUUUAGUGGUAUGUUUCCAGGAAGAUUUCAAGGCAUCAAAAGAAUGAGCAUCAUCAGUAUAAUCAUUUAAAUCAAGAUGACAUCCAGUCAAUACAUCUAGAUUAUUACUACCAAUGGAGCUGCAUAUAGAGAGAAUUUUAUUUUCCAAUCCAUUAGGUUCUGAGCUUCUUCCCUGGGAAAAUGCAACUUCAGUCUUGCAUUUGCUCCAUCUCUGUUUCAUUUCAGAUUUUUCAGCUCUAUUCUCAGAACAAUUAUCAACGAGCAGUGUAGAAGAAUUUCCAGCAUCCAACUGUUGCUGAUUGAGAAGUUUCUGAACAGCUCUCUGAUUCUUAGAUUUUUUAAUAUUUUGAAAGAGUGGAAACUCUGAUUUUCGUUUUGUGCCACACUUUAAAUACUUACUCGAAAAGCCUAUAUUCUUUUUUACUGGAGUGAUUCCAAGUGUAUCAUUUUGAACCGUUUUGCAUUGUUCAGAAUGGAUCAACUCUAACUCAUCAGCACUGCGAUAUCUCCCACAGGUAUAACUACUGAAAUUCUGCGUGUAAAUAAAAAAAAGAUUAGAUAAUAUUUGACCUUGAUGAAAAAUCAACACAACAAUAUAUAACAAUACCAAAAGUACAUGCAAUAUCAUUGUAAAAAACAAUUGUGAACAAACAAUUUACCUUUCUAAUCACCACCCAUUUACCAUCUUCCCAUGUCUGCCGUAUUCUCACAUUCAAAUAAUGUAUUUUUAUUGACCAAAAAGAUCCAAGAAGCCUCACAGUGUAAUGGUUUUCAUCCAGCACCAUAAGUAAUUCAGAAAUCUUCCAAGACCCAUUGUCGAAAGCUUCAAUCAUAUCACCAGUUUCCCAGUCAGCAGGUAGUUUAUUUGAAGGAGGGCAAGGCCGGAUAGAUUUUCUAGAAACUCUUUCCACAUCUGACAUAUCAGGUGAGGGACACUGAUACCUUACGUUGUAAUAUCGACCAUUACCAGAUAUUAUCUCUGCACGCCACCAAGAACCCGUAGGCGUCUCUCUCAUGUUCCGCACCUCUACUUUAAAUCCUUUUUCGAAGAUCAUGUUUAUUUUGAGUUAGCAAUGGAAUCUCUUGAUCCUGUUCACAACAUGACAUAGAUUAGGAUAUCAACUCAGCACUUUAUUAGGGAAGAUUGAUAAUCUAUUCUAACAACCCAAUAAAAAAAAUCCAGUAGAAUAAUAGAAUAGAAUCAACAUAAUCGCAUAAAUCAUUUCAAAUAAAUUUGAACGUUGUAUGUUAACAGAGGAAUAAUAACACAAGUUAGCAGCAUAUAAUUAUUUAUUAAAGGGGAAAUAUCCAGGUUCCCACUUUUUCUCGUCAAAUAUAAAGUAAAUAAAUACAAAACUCACAACAUCAAGUUGGAAGAAAAGAAAGAAGAAGAAAACAUUUACAGAAAGAGAGAUCUGAAAAUGCACUAUCUAAAAGUCUGAAACAUCUACAAAUCUCGAACAAAAACGUCUUAAAUAAAAGUCUAAAUUCACUGCGACAUUGAUGAAAAGCCGGAAAGUAAAGAAAACCACAAAAUCUACAAUCUGAUGAUCGCAGCAAUAUGUUAAGAAUAAACUGAGAAAUUCUGGAAAAAAUAAACUAAAUAUAAAAGCAUCAAUCAACAUAUUAAAAAAAAAACAAAACAUUUCUAAACCACAAAUCACCAGAUUCUCAACAACAGUCUACAUCCACUACCAACAACAAUCGAAAACAAGAACAGAAACCCCAGAAUAAAGAGCGAAAACCAAACAUUCGCACAAAUUCAUCUUUCUUUCCACAACCACAAUCAAAUAAAAACACAGAACCGCACGAGCGAGGGGGAAAAAAGAUGAACAAUCUCAAAAAAAAAAAAAAAAAAUCACUGACCUGGAAAAGACGAUCACACACAGAUUACAGCAGAUUACAGCAGAUUAACGAUUUCUUUCCUCCCAAGGAUUAUCGAUCAACACAAAGAUUCAGAAAUAUUGGAAUCAGUUAUCUCUUUACCGCGUCCUUCUCUCCGAACUUUAUAUCUCUCGUUCUUCCUCUUCUUCCACUGCACACCGGAAAUUUGCAGAAGGGUGGAGAAUUCAGAAAAAAUUUAGAAUGGUGGGCCGUGAUAAAAUAAGCCAAGUUUUUUUUUUUUGUUGUUGUUGCGUAAAAUAACCCUGGAAUUUUUCGAAAUUACUUGACGUCGUGCGUGCCCGGUUUCAGCAACCGAGUCUCACCAUUUGCUGCGAUUGCCACGUCAGAUGCCUUUUUAUUGUUGGAAUGGGUUUUGCAAAUGGUGCAAUUCUGUCCAUUCGAUCUCAGAUAUCUAUAGUAAAUUAAAUCUGUUUUAAACUUAUAAUUAGAAAUGAAGGUUUAGUGUUAAUCUCCUUCCUCUGUUUACCUAAUUUAGCAGUGGGUAAUUAGCAUCAUUAUUCAUAAGUACAGACCAUAAUAACAUUAUCUGUUGUAGUAGCUUUAAAAGAAAGUUAAGUAGUAGUAGUUAACUUAACUUCCAAACAAUCAAUUGAGUGGUGGUGAACAAAAUGAAACAAGAUAAAAAAAAAAAAGACAGACAAUACGCAAACGACAUACCUUGUCCACAAGUAAGGAUUUCGGAUCAUCAACCCUAUCUAUCCUUCAAAACAUGUCCAGGACAAAUGGCUUUCAGAUGAAAUUACAAAUUGCAAAACAACAAGCAUGUUCCUUGUGUCUAUCUUUUUUUUUGCUUCAUUUUCUACUAGACUGACUAUUUAUUAAAUGGGUAGCAAAGAAUUAGGCAUUCAUGGUUCUGGUUCAGGAGCAAAAGGAAUUGGCUUAGUUGGAGCAGGUAGACGGCCGAUACUGUCGACCUUAUCACGUAUCUUCGGUGGAGGUCGAGCAGGGCGUGGUAACAAUCGUCUCUUCUUUUCAAACCAUUCUGGUUUUAGUAGAGCUCGUAAUCCAAGUUUGUUGUAAUGAACUUUCCUCACCGAUCCACCUGCUGCUUCAACAGCUUCCUUAGCUCUAACGGUCACUCUUGACACCUGGAGAGAAUUUAAAUAUCAAUCAGAAUAUAAAACACCUAAAGCUAUCCAAGUAAUCAAUCACAAGUCGAUAUUUAAGUAAAAGAAAACAAUCAGUUGAUGAAAUAACAAUAAAAAUUGAUAAGAAAACAGCAUACCUCGAGGUGGAUCGGCCACUGGAUUUCUUCAGCACCACGACCCAUCAACCUAACACCAUCCUCAAUUUGCUUACCAACAGCACCGGUGUCCUGAGUGUAACAUAAAAAACAGUUAACAGCGCCAUUCAAAAUCCAUAUAAUCUAGUCAAAGCAUAAUAAGAAAAGAGCAAUACUACCUUGAGAGUUUUCAUAGUAAUAAGUUCCGACGAGUCAAUUUUUCCAGCAUUUAUGAGCUUUGCUAUCUUUCCCAAACCAAUUGGCUGAAAUAAAAUAAAAAUACCAUCACAAUAAAUAAAUCACUCAAUUCCAAUUAAAAUCAGUUGUCCACUUAUGCAAUGCUAACUAAGCAGUUGGAAUUUUUAAGAUAAUCCAAAAGAAAUUGAAAGAACUAAGCAAUACAGGACAGUAAGUCCAUAAGAAAUAUGCACUUUACUCACUCGCUUAAAUCCAGACAACAACGGUGUUUUUAGUACAAAAUGCAGUAGGAUAAAAUCACCUAAAAUCAGAGAUUGGGGGAUUCAAGCAUUUCUGAAGCUGGUCUUUUUAUUUUUUGAGUCGCUCUAAAAAAACCGAAGCAAUGAUACUGGCUCUAGUUUUAUGGUGAUUCACAUCAGAAUAUCAGAUAUCUAAUCUGUUACAAUGUGCGAUGCAACUCAUCCAAGUCGAUUAAAAUCUGUCAAUUUAAGAUUUAAUUAUCAACCAACAAACCUCUUUAAAAAUAGAGUUUUUUUCCUUUCAAUUUUCACUCUUCAAAAUCAUACUACACAAUCCGUCUCAUAUCUAAUAUUUACAUGACUAUGUAAUUUAGGAAAAUCAUAAGUAAAACGGAUGAUGAACAACGACAACAAGAAAAUCUCACCUGAAAAGGUGAUAUUUUUCACCUAUUUGCAAAAAAAAAAAAAAAAAAUCUCAC